AACGCUAGCGGGAGGCUUAACACAUGCAAGCCGAGCGGUAGAGAUCUUUCGGGAUCUUGAGAGCGGCGUACGGGUGCGGAACACGUGUGCAACCUGCCUUUAUCUGGGGGAUAGCCUUUCGAAAGGAAGAUUAAUACCCCAUAAUAUGUUGGAUGGCAUCAUUCGACAUUGAAAACUCCGGUGGAUAGAGAUGGGCACGCGCAAGAUUAGAUAGUUGGUGAGGUAACGGCUCACCAAGUCUGCGAUCUUUAGGGGGCCUGAGAGGGUGAUCCCCCACACUGGUACUGAGACACGGACCAGACUCCUACGGGAGGCAGCAGUGAGGAAUAUUGGACAAUGGGUGAGAGCCUGAUCCAGCCAUCCCGCGUGAAGGACGACGGCCCUAUGGGUUGUAAACUUCUUUUGUAUAGGGAUAAACCUACUCUCGUGAGAGUAGCUGAAGGUACUAUACGAAUAAGCACCGGCUAACUCCGUGCCAGCAGCCGCGGUAAUACGGAGGGUGCAAGCGUUAUCCGGAUUUAUUGGGUUUAAAGGGUCCGUAGGCGGAUCUGUAAGUCAGUGGUGAAAUCUCACAGCUUAACUGUGAAACUGCCAUUGAUACUGCAGGUCUUGAGUGUUGUUGAAGUAGCUGGAAUAAGUAGUGUAGCGGUGAAAUGCAUAGAUAUUACUUAGAACACCAAUUGCGAAGGCAGGUUACUAAGCAACAACUGACGCUGAUGGACGAAAGCGUGGGGAGCGAACAGGAUUAGAUACCCUGGUAGUCCACGCCGUAAACGAUGCUAACUCGUUUUUGGGCUUUCGGGUUCAGAGACUAAGCGAAAGUGAUAAGUUAGCCACCUGGGGAGUACGAACGCAAGUUUGAAACUCAAAGGAAUUGACGGGGGCCCGCACAAGCGGUGGAUUAUGUGGUUUAAUUCGAUGAUACGCGAGGAACCUUACCAAGGCUUAAAUGGGAAAUGACAGGUUUAGAAAUAGACUUUUCUUCGGACAUUUUUCAAGGUGCUGCAUGGUUGUCGUCAGCUCGUGCCGUGAGGUGUUAGGUUAAGUCCUGCAACGAGCGCAACCCCUGUCACUAGUUGCCAUCAUUAAGUUGGGGACUCUAGUGAGACUGCCUACGCAAGUAGAGAGGAAGGUGGGGAUGACGUCAAAUCAUCACGGCCCUUACGCCUUGGGCCACACACGUAAUACAAUGGCCGGUACAGAGGGCAGCUACACAGCGAUGUGAUGCAAAUCUCGAAAGCCGGUCUCAGUUCGGAUUGGAGUCUGCAACUCGACUCUAUGAAGCUGGAAUCGCUAGUAAUCGCGCAUCAGCCAUGGCGCGGUGAAUACGUUCCCGGGCCUUGUACACACCGCCCGUCAAGCCAUGGAAGUCUGGGGUACCUGA
Molecule: ribosomal RNA, 1384 nt
Filed under: uncultured Bacteroidota bacterium
Lineage: Bacteria; Pseudomonadati; Bacteroidota
Description: bacterial SSU rRNA
Rfam family: Bacterial small subunit ribosomal RNA
Source: RNAcentral